RNAcentral lists this ribosomal RNA (483 nucleotides) under uncultured bacterium. RNAcentral describes it as "partial 16S ribosomal RNA". It matches the Rfam family "Bacterial small subunit ribosomal RNA", at positions 30 to 506 of the family's 1533-position model. The record is from RNAcentral.
AUUGAACGCUGGCGGCAGGCCUAACACAUGCAAGUCGAGCGGAUGAAGGGAGCUUGCUCCUGGAUUCAGCGGCGGACGGGUGAGUAAUGCCUAGGAAUCUGCCUGGUAGUGGGGGAUAACGUCCGGAAACGGGCGCUAAUACCGCAUACGUCCUGAGGGAGAAAGUGGGGGAUCUUCGGACCUCACGCUAACAGAUGAGCCUAGGUCGGAUUAGCUAGUUGGUGGGGUAAAGGCCUACCAAGGCGACGAUCCGUAACUGGUCUGAGAGGAUGAUCAGUCACACUGGAACUGAGACACGGUCCAGACUCCUACGGGAGGCAGCAGUGGGGAAUAUUGGACAAUGGGCGAAAGCCUGAUCCAGCCAUGCCGCGUGUGUGAAGAAGGUCUUCGGAUUGUAAAGCACUUUAAGUUGGGAGGAAGGGCAGUAAGUUAAUACCUGGCUGUUUUGACGUUACCAACAGAAUAAGCACCGGCUAACUGCGU